Otolemur garnettii (small-eared galago) is the source of this 258-nucleotide non-coding RNA. The record is from Rfam. NCBI's taxonomy places the organism in Eukaryota, Metazoa, Chordata, Mammalia, Primates, Galagidae.
GCCAGGUGUUGUGGCGGGCGCCUGUGGUCCCAGCUACUUGGGAGGUGGAGGCAGGAGACUGGCUUGAGCCCAGGAGUUGGAGGUUGCUGUGAGCAGUAAAGCCAUAGCAUUCUACCCAGGGGGACAGCUUGAGGCUCUGUCUCAAAAAAAGAAAAGAAAAGAGACAGAGCCUCAAGCUGUCACCCUAGGUAGAGUGCUGUAGCAUCAUAGCUCACAGCAACCUCCAACUCCUGGGCUCAAGCGAGUCUCCUGCCUCUG